RNAcentral lists this ribosomal RNA (497 nucleotides) under uncultured bacterium. Its description in RNAcentral is "partial 16S ribosomal RNA". It matches the Rfam family "Bacterial small subunit ribosomal RNA", at positions 28 to 507 of the family's 1533-position model. The record is from RNAcentral.
GACGAACGCUGGCGGCGUGCUUAACACAUGCAAGUCGAGCGAACAGACGAGGCGCUUGCUCCUUUGUCGUUAGCGGCGGACGGGUGAGUAACACGUGGAUCCCCCCCCUAUAUGUCUGGGAUAACUUCGGGAAUCCGGCGCUAAUCCCGUAUAAUAUCUUGCACCGCAUGGUUCAAUAGUGAAAUACGGCUUUGCUGUCACUUCUCGAUGCAUCCGCGCCGCUUUAGCUAGUUGGUACGGUAACGGCUUAUCAAGGCGACGAUGCGUAGCCGAACUGAGAGAGUGGUCGGCCACACUGGAACUGAGACAGGGUCAAGACGCCUACGAGAAGCAGCAGUAGGGAAUCUGCCGCAAUGGGCGGAAGCAUGGCAGAGCAAGGCGGAGUGAGUGAUGAAGAUCUUCGGAUCGGGAAACUCGGUUUUUGGGGGAAAACAAAUGUGUAAGGAGCUAUGCACGUCUUGAAGGUAACUGAUCAGAAAGCCACGGCUAACUACGUG